UACGAGGGGGGCAAAUGUUGUUCGGAAUCACUGGGCGUAAAGGGAGCGUAGGCGGGAUGGCAAGUCGGUCGUGAAAGCCUUCGGCUCAACCGAAGAACGUCGGCCGAUACUGCCGUUCUUGAGGGAUGCAGAGGAGACUGGAAUUCCCGGUGUAGCGGUGAAAUGCGCAGAUAUCAGGAAGAACACCCGUGGCGAAAGCGGCUCUCUGGAACGGUACUGACGCUGAGACGCGAAAGCGUGGGGAGCGAACAGG
RNAcentral lists this ribosomal RNA (253 nucleotides) under uncultured bacterium. RNAcentral's name for it is "partial 16S ribosomal RNA". It matches the Rfam family "Bacterial small subunit ribosomal RNA", at positions 524 to 776 of the family's 1533-position model. The record is from RNAcentral.